This 390-nucleotide ribosomal RNA is filed under the name uncultured bacterium. RNAcentral describes it as "bacterial SSU rRNA". It matches the Rfam family "Bacterial small subunit ribosomal RNA", at positions 28 to 420 of the family's 1533-position model. The record is from RNAcentral.
GAUGAACGCUAGCGGCAGGCUUAACACAUGCAAGUCGAGGGGUAUAGUUCUUCGGAAUUAGAGACCGGCGCACGGGUGCGUAACGCGUAUGCAAUCUACCUUUCACAGAGGGAUAGCCCCAGAGAAAUUUGGAUUAAUACCUCAUAGUAUAGCAGUUUCGCAUGAAACCACUAUUAAAGUCACAACGGUGAAAGAUGAGCAUGCGUCCCAUUAGCUAGUUGGUAAGGUAACGGCUUACCAAGGCAACGAUGGGUAGGGGUCCUGAGAGGGAGAUCCCCCACACUGGUACUGAGACACGGACCAGACUCCUACGGGAGGCAGCAGUGAGGAAUAUUGGACAAUGGCGGCAAGCCUGAUCCAGCAAUGCCGCGUGCAGGAUGAAGGGCCUUC